AGAGUUUGAUCAUGGCUCAGGACGAACGCUGGCGGCGUGCUUAACACAUGCAAGUCGAGCGGAAAGGCCCUUUCGGGGGUACUCGAGCGGCGAACGGGUGAGUAACACGUGAGUAAUCUGCCCUUGGCUUUGGGAUAACUACCGGAAACGGUGGCUAAUACCGGAUAUGACCAUGCUCGGCAUCGGGUGUGGUGGGAAGUUUUUUCGGCCAGGGAUGUGCUCGCGGCCUAUCAGCUUGUUGGUGGGGUAAUGGCCUACCAAGGCUUCGACGGGUAGCCGGCCUGAGAGGGUGACCGGCCACACUGGGACUGAGACACGGCCCAGACUCCUACGGGAGGCAGCAGUGGGGAAUAUUGGACAAUGGGCGGAAGCCUGAUCCAGCAACGCCGCGUGAGGGAUGACGGCCUUCGGGUUGUAAACCUCUUUCAGUACCGACGAAGCGCCGAUGAUGGUGGUGACGGUAGGUACAGAAGAAGCACCGGCCAACUACGUG
RNAcentral lists this ribosomal RNA (493 nucleotides) under uncultured bacterium. Its description in RNAcentral is "bacterial SSU rRNA". It matches the Rfam family "Bacterial small subunit ribosomal RNA", at positions 8 to 507 of the family's 1533-position model. The record is from RNAcentral.